This is a long non-coding RNA of Daphnia pulicaria, 1262 nucleotides long. RefSeq lists it as uncharacterized. Lineage: Eukaryota; Metazoa; Arthropoda; Branchiopoda; Diplostraca; Daphniidae. The record is from RefSeq and is a predicted model, not a curated record. The transcript is spliced from 3 exons.
UCACGGAGAUCAUUAUGUAAAACGCGUCAUGCAGUGGUGUAGAGGUUGGGUAAGAACGGAACGUGUUGCUUCAUCAUCAAUUUGGUGCAAUAGCCGCAAGGCUUAAAAGGUGGGUCAGGGUGAGAAAAAGUCGUAUAAAAGGAGAGAGAAAAGGCGAUCAGACAUCAGUAGAGUGAGCGUCUCCGACACGGCAACAACUGCAGCGCACUACAGGUCACCAAAUGCCUUCUUCAUCGUAUUACAUCAGUUCGCAAUCAUGGUUAACUAUGGCGUUGUGGUGCUGUCGGGUGUUGUAUCGUUGAUGGCUGCGUCGACCACAGGUGUACUGAUGUCUCCUGGGUAUGGUGGAUACCAAGCAACAGCACCGAAAGAAGACUACACCACGUCACCGCUACACUACAAAAAAAUGUUAACGCACGCAACACAUACUUACUACACCGAGGCCCCCAACUAGUACACCCUAGAGGCUUCAGAGUAUUACACGAAAACUUAUGCUGCCCCGAGCUACUACGUCGAAGCCACCAAGUAUUACUCUGCCCCGAGAUACAUCACCAAAGCGCUUGAGUACUAUACCGAGGCUCAAGUUUAUUACACCACUUAAGCUGUCGAAUACUACACCGAAGCGCCCAAGUACUACAAUGCAACAUAGACUGCCCCAGCUUAGCACACCGUGGCACUGGAGUACUACUACACCACCCCCGAGGCACCGAAGUACUACUACACCACCACCGAGGCACCGGAGUACUACUACACCACCACCGAGGCACCGGAGUACUACACAACUACUUACGCUACUCCGACCUACUACACCGAAGCUCCGAAGCACUACUCUACCCCGAGUUACUACACUACUUAGGCAUCUGAAUAUUAUACCACAACCAACGCUUCCCCAACUUACUACGAGAAGGCUCCUUAAUACUAGAGUCGAAAUUUCUAUUUGUUAAUCAUUUAAAUUCGUCGGUUAUCUUCAUGGUUACUAGUGACUGUGAAUUGAUUGUUGAUCUUAAACGAGAAAAUAAAAAAGACUAAAGAAUAAGACUUUUAUUAAUACCUACCUUUUCGACAUUGCGACAGGCGUUUCUAUUUGUGUUGACUUCUUCAAUGUUAGUAUGCUGUGUUAUGAUUUGUUUGUUUCAUGUAUUAGAGAUGACUACUGCCUUCGUUGCUUUGCAUACGGACAUUCUUCUGCUUUGACGAUUGUUUUAGUGUAAGUUGCGAAAGAAUGGUUCUGCGUUAAGUAUACUCUAAAUUUUGAUCUUGAA